GAAGCAGUGGCAGGGCAAGGCACUUGUACUUCUUGUUUGAUCUCGCAAUAAUUGUUGAUGGAGGGCAAGUUCAGAGACGGUAGAUGCAUGAGUACUGCAAGGAGCACCCAUCCCACUAUAUAGUUGGUCCAAGACGAAUAAAGGAAUCUGGUUCUCCAGCAUUAGCAUGUUAAGCAUGAUUUGUCGUGACGCUGGCCCAUUCCAUGUUCUUUUCUGCAUAAACAAUUGAUCAGAGGCUGCAAAAUGUAGCCGUCGAGUAGCAAAAUAGCUCUGAGAAUCUACACCC
This 286-nucleotide long non-coding RNA is filed under the name Elaeis guineensis (African oil palm). RNAcentral's name for it is "long non-coding RNA (EGUI_LNC028321)". Lineage: Eukaryota; Viridiplantae; Streptophyta; Magnoliopsida; Arecales; Arecaceae. The record is from RNAcentral.